Molecule: ribosomal RNA, 253 nt
Filed under: uncultured bacterium
Lineage: Bacteria
Description: partial 16S ribosomal RNA
Rfam family: Bacterial small subunit ribosomal RNA
Source: RNAcentral
UACGGGGGGGGCAAGCGUUGUUCGGAAUUACUGGGCGUAAAGGGCUCGUAGGCGGCCAACUAAGUCAGACGUGAAAUCCCUCGGCUUAACCGGGGAACUGCAUCUGAUACUGGAUGGCUUGAGUUCGGGAGAGGGAUGUGGAAUUCCAGGUGUAGCGGUAAAAUGCGUAGAUAUCUGGAGGAACACCGGUGGCGAAGGCGGCAUCCUGGACCGACACUGACGCUGAGGAGCGAAAGCCAGGGGAGCAAACGGG